UACAGAGGGUGCAAACGUUGCUCGGAAUCAUUGGGCGUAAAGCGCGCGUAGGCGGCCCGGUAAGUCCGUUGUGAAAGUCAAAGGCUCAACCUUUGAAAGCCGAUGGAUACUGCCGGGCUGGAGUCCGGAAGAGGCGAGUGGAAUUCCUGGUGUAGCGGUGGAAUGCGCAGAUAUCAGGAGGAACACCAAUAGCGAAGGCAGCUCGCUGGGACGGUACUGACGCUGAGGCGCGAAAGCGUGGGGAGCGAACAGG
Molecule: ribosomal RNA, 253 nt
Filed under: uncultured bacterium
Lineage: Bacteria
Description: partial 16S ribosomal RNA
Rfam family: Bacterial small subunit ribosomal RNA
Source: RNAcentral